UACGGAGGGUGCAAGCGUUAUCCGGAUUCACUGGGUUUAAAGGGUGCGUAGGCGGGCAGGUAAGUCAGUGGUGAAAUCUCCGAGCUUAACUUGGAAACUGCCAUUGAUACUAUUAGUCUUGAAUACUGUGGAGGUUAGCGGAAUAUGUCAUGUAGCGGUGAAAUGCUUAGAUAUGACAUAGAACACCAAUUGCGAAGGCAGCUGGCUACACAAAUAUUGACACUGAGGCACGAAAGCGUGGGGAUCAAGCAGG
Molecule: ribosomal RNA, 253 nt
Filed under: uncultured bacterium
Lineage: Bacteria
Description: partial 16S ribosomal RNA
Rfam family: Bacterial small subunit ribosomal RNA
Source: RNAcentral